Molecule: ribosomal RNA, 238 nt
Filed under: Staphylococcus aureus
Lineage: Bacteria; Bacillati; Bacillota; Bacilli; Caryophanales; Staphylococcaceae
Description: partial 16S ribosomal RNA
Rfam family: Bacterial small subunit ribosomal RNA
Source: RNAcentral
UUUAUGGAGAGUUUGAUCCUGGCUCAGGAUGAACGCUGGCGGCGUGCCUAAUACAUGCAAGUCGAGCGAACGGACGAGAAGCUUGCUUCUCUGAUGUUAGCGGCGGACGGGUGAGUAACACGUGGAUAACCUACCUAUAAGACUGGGAUAACUUCGGGAAACCGGAGCUAAUACCGGAUAAUAUUUUGAACCGCAUGGUUCAAAAGUGAAAGACGGUCUUGCUGUCACUUAUAGAUGG